AUUAAAGAAAUGGUGCUGAAUGGGAAUAAAAGGAAGCACACCACACGGCCAUUCACGUACAACAGCUAGGAAUCUUCUUUCGUUGUAGAAGACACAAAUGGAGGGGGCCACCACUUGGUUGAAAGCUCACGUCCAAGGAGCUCAAAAAAAAAAAAGAUAAAUGCAAGGUGCUACAAAAUAUGGGGUCCAUUCACCAUUUAGAAUGUCAUCUUUUCAUUUGGAAAGGAGAAGCAUGUUCACGGACUCAAUCUGGAAUUAAAAUGGGGGACACCAAGUUGACAAAAAAAAAAACUCACGGCCUAACAUCCAAGACAUAAUGGAUUCACGGCUGAAUUGCUUUCAAAUGAAGAAUUUUGGAACAGGAAAGCCAAUUGAAGUCAAAGAAGGGACCACUAAGAGUUCACGGUUUUGAGAAGCAAUGGAGCAAGUUCACGGCCCACAUGGAAAAGAGAAGCUUUUGAAAUUUUAAAUUGCUAAAUGAAGUGUUGAGGCAUGAUAAAAGCUCACGGUCAUUUCAAGUGGCGGAGGCAGCAGCAAAGAGAAGGAGGUGUGCUUGGCUUUGAAAAGGAAAAGAGGCAGCCGACACGGGAACUGAGGGGGAGAAGCUUUAAGUGGGAAUGAAACUGAGGAAGCAAAGGAAAAAUGGCUAAGGUUCAUCCGGCAACACACAAAAGGAGAUUCACUUCUUCAUUUUAGAGAUUCUGGAAGUAGGAAAGAAGAAGAAGGGAGGAAGAGGUGGACACUGUGGUAGGAGGUUGAAACGGCACAAGAGAAACACAUGAAGGGAUUGAUUCAAGGUUUGCAAGGAAGUCUUCAAGAGAUGUGGUUGAGGAAAUACCUCUGGAGCAAGAGCUGGAGGAGAUCGAUGCUGCUGCACAGUCUACUUAGUAUUUAGACGUUUAGAUCUCGGGAUAUAAAAUACUCUGAACUUUCUAAGUCUAAACUCUGUAUUAGGUUCUGGAUGACUGUAAUUUCGUGUUUAAUUGCAAGUCAUACUCUAACUGUUCUCUUUAUUUGGAAUGUUGACCCC
Molecule: small RNA, 1030 nt
Filed under: Vigna angularis var. angularis
Lineage: Eukaryota; Viridiplantae; Streptophyta; Magnoliopsida; Fabales; Fabaceae
Description: Non-protein coding transcript
Source: RNAcentral